Molecule: ribosomal RNA, 382 nt
Filed under: uncultured bacterium
Lineage: Bacteria
Description: bacterial SSU rRNA
Rfam family: Bacterial small subunit ribosomal RNA
Source: RNAcentral
GACGAACGCUGGCGGCGUGCUUAACACAUGCAAGUCGAGCGGUAAGGCCCUUUCGGGGGUACACGAGCGGCGAACGGGUGAGUAACACGUGGGUGACCUGCCCUCAGCUCUGGGAUAAGCCUGGGAAACCGGGUCUAAUACUGGAUAUGACUCCAUGACGCAUGGUUGUGGGGUGGAAAGCCUUGUGCGGCUGAGGAUGGGCCCGCGGCCUAUCAGCUUGUUGGUGGGGNGAUGGCCUACCAAGGCGACGACGGGUAGCCGGCCUGAGAGGGCGACCGGCCACACUGGGACUGAGACACGGCCCAGACUCCUACGGGAGGCAGCAGUGGGGAAUAUUGGACAAUGGGGGCAACCCUGAUCCAGCAAUGCCGCGUGUGUGAAG